Molecule: long non-coding RNA, 361 nt
Organism: Lutra lutra (Eurasian river otter)
Lineage: Eukaryota; Metazoa; Chordata; Mammalia; Carnivora; Mustelidae
Exons: 3
Source: RefSeq, a predicted model, not a curated record
UGAGCUGAAGGCAGAGGCCCAACCCUCUGAGCCACCCAGCUCUGUCCUAAUUCGAGGGGAAAAUAUAUCACAAGCCUACAACCUUUGAAGUGUCCCUUUUUUCUCCUGCAUUUCCCCCUCAUUCUCUGCCUCAAGACAAUUUCUUACAUCCUGGCAGCACCACUUAGGCUAGUAACACCCGAGUCAAAUAGUUCUCUCUCUGUCGGGAAAGGAAGUGAGGCCCUAGCUUGAACUGCCACUCUUCGAAAUAUGUCACUGCCUCUGCCUUUUGCAAGAUUGCAAUGGUUGGCAAAAUGAAUGACCUCAUCUCCCUGGCUCAAGUUAUCAGCUUGCCCAAUCUCUGGAACUUUCUAUGACUCAG